GACGAACGCUGGCGGCGUGCUUAACACAUGCAAGUCGAACGGAAAGGCCCUGCUUUUGUGGGGUUCUCGAGUGGCGAACGGGUGAGUAACACGUGAGUAACCUGCCCUUGUCUUUGGGAUAACUUCAGGAAACUGGGGCUAAUACCGGAUAGGAGCUCCUGCUGCAUGGUGGUGGUUGGAAAGUUUCGGCGGUUGGGGAUAGACUCGCGGCUUAUCAGCUUGUUGGUGGGGUAGUGGCUUACCAAGGCUUUGACGGGUAGCCGGCCUGAGAGGGUGAACGGCGACAAUGGGACUGAGAUACGGACCAGACGCCUACGGGAGGCAGCAGUCGGGAAUAUUGCACAAUGGGCGGAAGCCUGAUGCAGCGACGCCGCGUGCGGGAUGACGGCCUUCGGGUUGUAAACAGCUUUCGCAUGUGACGAAGAGUGAGUGACGGUAAUUGGUAAAGAAGCACCGGCUAACUACGUG
This 468-nucleotide ribosomal RNA is filed under the name uncultured bacterium. Its description in RNAcentral is "partial 16S ribosomal RNA". It matches the Rfam family "Bacterial small subunit ribosomal RNA", at positions 28 to 507 of the family's 1533-position model. The record is from RNAcentral.